Molecule: transfer RNA, 73 nt
Filed under: Ailuropoda melanoleuca (giant panda)
Lineage: Eukaryota; Metazoa; Chordata; Mammalia; Carnivora; Ursidae
Rfam family: tRNA
About the family: Transfer RNA (tRNA) molecules are approximately 80 nucleotides in length.
Source: Rfam by way of RNAcentral
ACCUGGCUGGCUCAGUUGGAAGAAUAUAUGACUCUUAAUCUUGAGGUUGUGAGUUCAAGCCCCACGUUGGGUG